Clupea harengus (Atlantic herring) is the source of this 2337-nucleotide long non-coding RNA. Lineage: Eukaryota; Metazoa; Chordata; Actinopteri; Clupeiformes; Clupeidae. The record is from Ensembl.
UGAUCCUCCGCCUGCCGGGCUGAUUACCUCUGCUUGGCAGGGAACGCAGACAGGGACUUUCUCCACCAUCACACCUUCAGCCUUUGAUGAUGAGCUGAAUGAUAUGAUGAGGGGGGGGGCUUUGUUUUUCAUGCCACUAUGAAGCAUUUCCCACUAAGCAUUAUUAUGGCAACGAGGAUGUUUUGUUGUUUUCUCUAACUGUUGUUUUCAGGCCAACAAGCUUUACACUCAUCGCACACUAGCAAACACAGAAAAAUGGAAACCAAGGUUUUCCUCAAAUUGAAAAACUUUAAUGUAAAGUGGUCAAAUUGUAAAUGUGGAUGUCAUCAUAUUACACUUACAACAAAGACAAAACACAUUGAGAAAUGGACAUAUUAGAAAAAAAAGUACAUUCACAUAUGUCGCAAAAAAAAAUCUAACAAACAAAACAUGCAUAGAUAUGAGAUAGUCACUAAGUGUGGAAUUUACGCCUCUAAUGACCUGAAACGACUGUAAAGCAGCACAGUGGCAGCCCAUAAACCAGACCUUCACCAAAUGUCCCCAGGCUUUAAUGGUAUGUAGCUGCAGUAUUGCCUGAUUAAUGUUUAGACCGAAGGAAACCCCGUCAUUGCUCAUAUUCAAAGGGGUGACCCUCGAUCCCCAAAAUCAUAGUCCGUGGUUGGUCUUCACAUCAUAAGGUAUCAUCACGGUCCAUCUUAUUUAUAUUGUUAAAAGCGAUGUGGACUGAAAGCAGUGACGUUCAGAGCCAUAAGACCAACUGGAUCAUCAGGUCACCAUAGAGUGCUUGCAAUGGGAAGGAACCACACAAGCAUCCCCACGGCUAAAAUACUGAACUUGAGGUUUGGUGAGGUCGUGGUUUUACACUUUCACAGUAGCAGUUGGAGGAGGAGGAUGAUGUUUUGUGUACUGAUGACCAGGGGGUUGGACCGUAGCAAAGAGGCAAAUAAUAACCCAACAGAGACGACAACACACACACACACACACACAAACACAUUCAUCUUGGAGUGAUCAUGGCUUGGAGAAUGAUCCAUCAACCAGCUUUGCCAGGGAUGAGCCACCCUGCUCAUGCGGUCACAGUGUGUUUAGUUUCACUGUUCCCCUCUUAUCCUCAGCUGACUAAUAAAAAGGAUUGAUUGACUGCACCGUACCGUCUCUUGGUUAUAAAGUCCUAAUUACCAUGCCGUCAAAUUAGUAUGAAAAGACACACACACACACACACACACACACACACACAACGCUUGUAAUAAUGGCCAAUCAGAGUAGGUGUCAUUUGGAUGCCACUAUGCACAGUUGAGAGAAAAAAAACUGUAAUCUUUCUACCUCAAGCAGUACUCCUGACAUCCAAUAAGCAACCCCAUAUUUGCUUUCCCCCAUUUAUUUAUGCUCAACACAAAAUACAUCCACUUUGUGCCAUUAGAACUAGAAAGAAGGAGAAAAAUUAAAUAGCAUUUUUGUACAUUUUAUCUAAUCAACACAUUUACCAUCAAACUCAGACAUCACUUACAUUAACCAUAAAAUCCUCACAAAGACAGAUCCACCAAUAACGUUGGUGUUGAAAGACUAAGGUCGUUCCCUAAAUGUCUCGUCCUUCAUGAAUCACAGAAUAACACAAUGUAGUCCCCCUUAGAGAUUAUCUUUAAAGCAGAGUAAAAGCUGUGCGUGACUGCCUAUAUUACUACAAAUUCUCUUAUUCAUUCUGAACUGAACUCGGAAUAGAAACUGUCCCUCUAAUCAAGUUUAGGAGAACCAAACAUCGAUCUCCUACCAAGAGAGUGUCAGUAAAACUGCAGGGAGUGACAUUUAAAUAGCCUGUAGUGUCAUUUUAGUAUUUCCUUUUGGCGUUCCUUUUUUAAUGUUCAAGUGUCAUUUUUUAUUUUUUUAUUUGGCGUGCCUUACAGUUAUAUGGUUUCAUUUUCACAAGACAGUUUCACAGUGAAUUUGUCAUUUUUUUUUUUUGUAAAAGGUGCAGAUGAGACAAAUGAAACAGACACGUCAGGAGUACACAAAAGUCCACACACGCACGCACACGCACGCACGCACGCACACACACACACACAGCACUGGACAGCAAGCAACUUGUCUAUCAAAUUGCCUGUGAAACUCCUUUCCCUGUUAAGGCAUCAGAGGUGAAGUUUUCAAGAAAAGAGAAAAUGCAGAUUAUUCGCACAGUCAUAAAAAGAGUUAUCUUCAAUAACACACACACAUACAGGCUGGUCACAGGCCAAAACACUCACAUUAGCUCAAUGCAAAAAGUGUGGCUUAUAUACAUGUAAAUACAACAUUUACAAGAUGAUGAGGUUUGCCUUCAGGUAAUCUUUUCCAGCCAAGAGUCAAAAA